GACGAACGCUGGCGGCGUGCUUAACACAUGCGAGUCGAACGGUAAGGCCCCUUCGGGGGUACACGAGUGGCGAACGGGUGAGUAACACGUGGGUGAUCUGCCCUGCACUUCGGGAUAAGCCUGGGAAACUGGGUCUAAUACCGGAUAGGACCACGCUCUGCAUGGAGUGUGGUGGAAAGCUUUUGCGGUGUGGGAUGGGCCCGCGGCCUAUCAGCUUGUUGGGGGGGUGAUGGCCUACCAAGGCGACGACGGGUAGCCGGCCUGAGAGGGUGUCCGGCCACCAGGGGACGAAGGACGGCCCCAGCCGCCAAGGGGGGGAAGGGGGGGGAAAUAUGACACAGGGGGGGCGAGCGGGAUGAGGCGGCGCCGGGGGGGGAAGGCGGCCCUGGGGGUUAAAAACCUUUUCCGGUCCCGAAGAGGGGGAAGUGACGGUAGGUAAAGAAGAAGCACCGGCAAACUACGUG
Molecule: ribosomal RNA, 464 nt
Filed under: uncultured bacterium
Lineage: Bacteria
Description: partial 16S ribosomal RNA
Rfam family: Bacterial small subunit ribosomal RNA
Source: RNAcentral